RNAcentral lists this ribosomal RNA (253 nucleotides) under uncultured bacterium. Its description in RNAcentral is "partial 16S ribosomal RNA". It matches the Rfam family "Bacterial small subunit ribosomal RNA", at positions 524 to 776 of the family's 1533-position model. The record is from RNAcentral.
UACGGAGGGAGCUAGCGUUGUUCGGAAUUAUUGGGCGUAAAGAGCUCGUAGGCGGACUGUCACGUCUGCUGUGAAAAGCUGGGGCUUAACCCUGGCCUUGCAGUGGAUACGGGCAGACUAGAGGUAGGUAGGGGAGAAUGGAAUUCCCGGUGUAGCGGUGAAAUGCGCAGAUAUCGUAAGGAAGACCAGUGGCGAAGGCGGGUCUCUGGACAGUUCCUGACGCUGAGGCACGAAGGUCAGGGGAGCAAACGGG